GUAUUUGCUUCGGCGGUACAUACAUUAAAAUUGGAACGAUACAGAAAAGAUUAGCAUGGCCCCUGCGCAAGGAUGACACGCCGUUUAUAGUGAUUCAAUAAAAAUAU
Small nuclear RNA from Stegodyphus dumicola, 107 nucleotides. Lineage: Eukaryota; Metazoa; Arthropoda; Arachnida; Araneae; Eresidae. The record is from RefSeq and is a predicted model, not a curated record.